UACGAAGGGUGCAAGCGUUACUCGGAAUUACUGGGCGUAAAGGGUGCGUAGGUGGUUCGUUAAGUCUGAUGUGAAAGCCCUGGGCUCAACCUGGGAAUUGCAUUGGAUACUGGCGGGCUAGAGUGUGGUAGAGGAUGGCGGAAUUCCCGGUGUAGCGGUGAAAUGCGUCGAGAUCGGGAGGAACAUCCGUGGCGAAGGCGGGUAACUGGACUGCAACUGACGCUGAGGCGCGAAAGUGUGGGGAGCAAACAGGAUUAGAUACCCUGGUAGU
Molecule: ribosomal RNA, 271 nt
Filed under: uncultured prokaryote
Description: partial 16S ribosomal RNA
Rfam family: Bacterial small subunit ribosomal RNA
Source: RNAcentral